AAUAGAUACCCGGGUAGUCCACGCCCUAAACGAUGCAUAUUUGGUGUGGGCAGUUCAGUCUGUCCGUGCCGGAGCUAACGCGUUAAAUAUGCCGCCUGGGGAGUACAGUCGCAAGGCUGAAACUCAAAGGAAUUGACGGGGGCCCGCACAAGCGGUGGAGCAUGUGGUUCAAUUCGACGCAACGCGAAGAACCUUACCUGGGCUCGAACGGCUGGUCAACGGCGGUGGAAACACCGCUACCCCGCAAGGGGGUCCAGUCGAGGUGCUGCAUGGCUGUCGUCAGCUCGUGUCGUGAGAUGUUGGGUUAAGUCCCGCAACGAGCGCAACCCUUGUCCUGUGUUGCCAUCAUUCAGUUGGGAACUCGCAGGAGACCGCCAGGGAUAACCUGGAGGAAGGUGGGGAUGACGUCAAGUCCUCAUGGCCUUUAUGUCCAGGGCUACACACGUGCUACAAUGGACGGUACAAACCGCAGCGAACCCGCGAGGGGAGCCAAUCGGAAAAACCGUUCUCAGUUCGGAUUGCAGG
RNAcentral lists this ribosomal RNA (525 nucleotides) under uncultured bacterium. RNAcentral describes it as "bacterial SSU rRNA". It matches the Rfam family "Bacterial small subunit ribosomal RNA", at positions 777 to 1304 of the family's 1533-position model. The record is from RNAcentral.